This 536-nucleotide ribosomal RNA is filed under the name uncultured bacterium. Its description in RNAcentral is "bacterial SSU rRNA". It matches the Rfam family "Bacterial small subunit ribosomal RNA", at positions 777 to 1315 of the family's 1533-position model. The record is from RNAcentral.
AAUAGAUACCCUGGUAGUCCACCCGUAAACGUUGGGAACUAGUUGUGGGGACCAUUCCACGGUUUCCGUGACGCAGCUAACGCAUUAAGUUCCCCGCCUGGGGAGUACGGCCGCAAGGCUAAAACUCAAAGGAAUUGACGGGGACCCGCACAAGCGGCGGAGCAUGCGGAUUAAUUCGAUGCAACGCGAAGAACCUUACCAAGGCUUGACAUAUACGAGAACGGGCCAGAAAUGGUCAACUCUUUGGACACUCGUAAACAGGUGGUGCAUGGUUGUCGUCAGCUCGUGUCGUGAGAUGUUGGGUUAAGUCCCGCAACGAGCGCAACCCUCGUUCUAUGUUGCCAGCACGUAAUGGCGGGAACUCAUGGGAUACUGCCGGGGUCAACUCGGAGGAAGGUGGGGAUGACGUCAAAUCAUCAUGCCCCUUAUGUCUUGGGCUUCACGCAUGCUACAAUGGCCGGUACAAAGGGCUGCAAUCCGUAAGGUGGAGCGAAUCCCAAAAGCCGGUCCAGUUCGGAUUGAGGUCUGCAACUCGA